CCUCAGUUUGCCCUCUCCUACAUCUUACAAGGUGGCACCAAUCUGAGGACAUGAAGAAACCACCCAGUGUCCAUCUGUAACUGUGAUUGGCAGGAAGGCUGGCAGCCAGCCCAGGUUCCCAUGGGAUGCUGAUGACGCUGAUCCAGGAACCACACUGAGAACUAAUGGGUUAGAACAUCUGCUAGAAGACCUGGAGGAAGCUGAAAAGAUUGACUGUUGAUCAAUUUUCAUUGAUAUGGUGAUGGCCAACCCCUGACUUCAUGGCCAGUCAACAGGCAGCUCUGGGAUACAGAUGGUCAGCAGUGCUGGCUAGUAGGUGUCACACCCUUCUGACAGAUUGUUCGUUCAUUAAAUACUUUGAGUACACGCUAAGCUCUCUGCUGGACACAGGAUACGAGGUCAAAGAGACUAUAUUUCAACCAACUGCCAAUCAGACAGGACUGGAUAACUUCCAGGUGGCACGGCUACUAACCCAUUACUCAGAUGGACAAAGAGCUGGGACUCCUGAGAAGUUUGCACUGUGGGUCAGCUCCAGCUAAACCCAAUCUAUUCAGCUGAGACUCUCAUGAAAACAGUGGCACAUGAAAAGGCCUAAGGGCUGGGCAGCUUGAGGACAGGUCUGGCUCAGUCCUACACCUUGAGAAAAUGAGAACUGGCCCAAGAAGGCACUAGUAAUCAAGUCUGCUGUUUUGUACAAAUUCUCUCAGCUGUUUGAUCCUCGUAUCUUAUUUUCCCAACUAUGAAAUAAAGCAAAGAGCCUUCAUGAUUGAUGGCUCCUGUCUCAGGAGGCUCAGCCUUCUAUGCAGGCAGGGACCUGUGCAAUGCGAUGUGAGAAUUCAAAGAAGAUGGUGAGAAUUCCACCAUCCACUUCCCACUUUCAACCUGCCUUCAAUUCUGGUCUACUCUGCUGCCUAUAACACCACCAUUACUGAUAUGUAGGGCUCUGGUGUGCUACUGGUCCCUUUAAAAUGCAAAUCUAUAUCAAGUCCCUUGUAUCUUACUGUGGAUAUCAAUUAUCCUCUGGUAGGACUGAUACAAGUGUGAGAUAACCACACCUUAGGAAAGGAUAAAAGGGCCUAAACAGACCAAAACUGAGCUAAUAGGUGUUCAAAUGGAGUCCAAAUUGAGGUGUGCUGUCAGUAUAAAAUACCAGAUUUUGAAGAUUUAGUUUAAAAGACUCAUUGAUUUCAUAAAUUGAUUACAAAGAUAUUUUGGAUCUAUUGGGCCAAAUCAAAUGUUAUUAAAAUCAUUUCACCUGCUACUUUUAUUGUUUUUAAACGUGGCUACUAGAAAAUUUUAAAUCCCAUAAUAUGGCUUGUACCUGUGGCUCAUACCAUAUUUCCCUUGGAUGGGGCUGGUCGAAGACCAGACUGUUCCAUGUGGUCCAUUUUGGUGAUGAUCUAGGCUGGCACUCUCCCCAUGGGCCUGGAGUACCCCUCCUUUCCUUCUCUAGCCUUCCUCCUGCCUGUUAUCUUCCAGACUUUAGCGCUCUUGUUUUGCAAGCAAGACAAUUCCCCCAGAGAGGUCAAAGGAACUGCCCUCGGCCUACAGGGGAGCUCACACAGUCCGGUGGCCAUGAGAUUUAAAGGGCACUGAGCACAGAAGUUGCCAAGCCCUUGGAAGGUACAGAGAAGAAGGAGUACCUGGAAGUGAGGCCGGCUGACUCUCACCUAAAGGAGACUAAACAAAAGAGGUCUGAGUGGUACAAGAAGGUUUCUAAUCCCAGCCCCUGAUUACAAGGAAGUAUAUGAGUUGCCUAUAAAUAAAUUGUAUUACAAAACCACCAGGAAGUGAGCCAGCUUGUUAGGGCCCUCUGUUUAUUACUUACAACUUCAGGGAAUUUCCAAAUUGCCAGACUAUUAGUUUGGGGGAACAGGAGAACUUUUUCCCUGUGAGAGAGCCUACUCAGAACCCAUUGUGUAAUUGUUGAAAAUAAAUAAUACUUUAUGAUAAUGGGCUGGAAAUGCUCCAACAGUCCUUGACCUAAGCCCCAGGCCCCAGCCCAAAGAGCAGAUGCUG
Long non-coding RNA from Balaenoptera musculus (blue whale), 2019 nucleotides. RefSeq lists it as uncharacterized. Lineage: Eukaryota; Metazoa; Chordata; Mammalia; Artiodactyla; Balaenopteridae. The record is from RefSeq and is a predicted model, not a curated record. The transcript has 4 exons.